Molecule: RNA transcript, 3596 nt
Organism: Daucus carota subsp. sativus
Lineage: Eukaryota; Viridiplantae; Streptophyta; Magnoliopsida; Apiales; Apiaceae
Gene name: plant UBX domain-containing protein 8
Exons: 11
Source: RefSeq, a predicted model, not a curated record
AAAAUGACAGUGAUACCCCUCCCACCCUGAAAACACCCCUUUCCCGAUGCUGGCCUAGCGUGGAUAUGCUUCAACCCUCCCCUCUUUUCUCAAUUUCAGAAAUCUAUGUUACGUCGGAGAAGAGUUCUGCGACUCAGUGCGUCUGCCCCUCAGCUCCCUGACGCCAUAAACCCUAUCAAACACUGGGUCCAUGAAUAUAAGACUGUUUAUGGAGGGUCAGGAUACUGUGGAUGUGGAAAUCAGCCUUUCCCUGUACCAUUCACUCUUCAAAAUAUGAUUCGUAGACCAUUUCUUAAUGGCGAUUAAUCACUAUUAUACCUCAAUCUGAAGCUCAAAUUGAGGGUGAAGAGUGGAAAUCUUCUUCUCUUGUUUGGAAGAUUUGUAUUGCAAGUAUUUGGAUACGUGCAAAAAAGGUUGGAGGUGGGAGGUUCAUCGACCCACGAUGAAGUUGAGGACAUUGAAGAUCAUUUAUUGGUGAGGCAUAGGAGUAGACGAAUGUCUUCUGGUUCUGUUGACUCUGGCACAGAAAUUCGAGACAAUGAAGGUAGCCCCCGCCAACAUAUCCACAACACGAUACUGGUAUUGAUCAUCCUCAGCACCAUGAAACUGACAUCGGUUUGGAGGAGUGGGGAGGAAUCUCUUCAUUGGAACAUGAUGAGGCUGUAAUGCUUGAGGCUGCUAUUUUUGGUGGAAUUCCAGAAGGGAGUUCGUAUCAUGUACCAUAUGCACCACAUCAGUACAUGCAGAAUGGUUUCGAUGGAUCUGGAACUUAUGCUAGGCCGGCGCCUCCUCCACCAUCGCCUUCUCUAACUGCUCAGCGCUUGAUACGAGAACAGCAGGAUGAUGAAUAUCUUGCGUCACUGCAAGCUGAUCGAGAAAAAGAGUUUAAGGCCAGGGAAGAAGCUGAGGUACGUCUCAUUGAGGAGCAAGCAGCCAGAGAAGCUGCACUUGUGGUGGAAAGACAACAGGCGGAAGAAUUGCAGAGAAAAUUGCAGGAAGAACAGGAAAUGGAAAGACAAUUGGCAGCAAAAGAAGCUUGUCUUCCUAAUGAACCAUCUCCAGAUGAUGAAACUUUUAUAACCUUUCUUGUUCGAAUGCCUGAUGGCAGCCGCAGAGGUCGCAGAUUUCUCAAGUCCCACAGACUGCAGGUACAUAUCAUAUGCUUCAAGUGGCUGGCAGUUAUCCACUCAUCGAGCUUAUCCCUAAAUAUUAUGUAAUUAAAAAAUUGCCAAUGUUUUAUACUCCCUCAGUCUCAAUUUAUAAGUUCAUUUUGAACACGCAUACUAAGAAAAAAGUUGGUUGAAUAUAAUUUUAUCUCAUGUACAAUUAAUUAGUGCAUUGAUAAGUGAGAAUAUAGUUGAGUUUCAAAAAAAUCACAAUAAAUAUAGAGAUUUAGUGCAUUGAGAAAUGAGAAUAAUGUUGAGUUUAAAAAAAGUCACAAUAAAUAUAUAGAUAAAUUUGUAUUGAAAGAAGAUAGGGACAAGUAUUUUGGGACAAUUUUUUUUUUUCCAAAAUGGACCUAUAAAUUGAGACGGAGGGAAUGUUAUCGUAACGGUCCGAAUAAAUGGCCACCUGGAAAGGAAUCGGGCAGAGGGGAGACAAUCAAAGGUGUGCAGAAAACUUGAUUUCGCUGCCAAGAAUUCAAUUGUAGAAAACAUGAGUUACAGAAGUUUUAUGCCCACCCAUAUUGGCGCUGAAACAGAUCUUCGUUUUGUUUAUUGUGCAACGGCCAUAUGUUCCAUGCUGGAAGAUUGGAGUGGUAUGGAUAGAGAGAAAGCCAAAGAAUACAUAAUAAGUUGUCAGUAUCUUUUCGACUAUAUUGAUGUUGGUCGACAGGUCAAGCCUGGCACUUACAGAUUGGAGGAGAAGUAUUAUUGCAAGUGGACGCGAGGUUGGGCAACUUAACACUGGUGGUGGUAUGCAGGUGCAGUUCUUCACUAUUGUUGUUGUAGUUUCAUUUUGAUAAAGUCUGAACAAUCUAUGUUUGUUUUUUCUUAAUAAACUGAAGUACCUGGUGUCCGAAUGUUAAAACUUUAAAUUACAAAAUAUUAUAAUUUUAAUUAUUGUUGCUUGUGAUUAAGCAAGCAGCCCCCCGCCCUAAAAAAAAAGUAUAGAUUUGCAUAUUUCAGACUAAUACUGAGAAGUGAUAUCCUUAAAAAUGUGUUUUCCUUUUUAUCUAAUUAUUUGGCAUACUAUGCUAACACUAUUUAGGCGUUAAUGAAUUUUCCACGGAGAGUUUUAUUAUUCUCUUAAAUAGAAUAAAGAUCAGUGCAAGUUGUAGCAUAAAUGUAUGAAUUUAUAUAGGUUUAUUACUGGCAAUAUGAUUAAUCCUGCCAAACUUUGUUUCAUACAUUCGAGGAAUCUGUGUUUCUUAAGAUCUUUAAUUAGCCGAGUUAACAGAUAAGUUCAUUAAUUUGAAACUCCAGUUUAAUUCAAAACGUAUUUACGCCAGAUUACUUUGGUUUGUAUGAGUUGUGGUUGAUCUUUAGUUUAGGCAUACCUGAAGGUGAUGUAUUCUAAUUGGGAACAUUGACUCCAGAGCUCCACAGUCUACUGCAAGCUCUUUUUCAAGUUUUGAUAUCUCUGCACUAAUGUUGCCAAAGUCUUCACUUUUUUAAACUUUCUUAUAUGGCUUCGUUUUUUAAGGGAGCACAGCUUAAGUGGUUCUUUCCCUCAAACUUAGAUUGAUUAAAAUUGGUGACAAAUCGAAAUAUUAAAUUAAGAAACAUGACUUAGUACGUGUAGCAUCUUUUAGUAUGAUUGUUUUCCUGCCAGGCAUUAAGUACACAGUCACAUUAAUGUGCUCACAUUGCUUCAAUACCCUCCAAGUAACUUCAUUCAGUAGAAAAAUACAAGGACUUAUCCAAGACAAGAUGGGUACAUGUUCAAGUUUUCAUUUUGCCAUGUGAUCAUAUCAAACAGUACAAUAUUUGAGGAAAAAGUGCAGAGGAUACCAGAAGUUGCAAUAACAUUGAAAGAGAUAACAGAAGCUAUUUAUUUCAGCUCCUGCAGAUAUUAGUGCAAGAAACACGAGUAAUUCCACUUCUAAAAAAAAACAGGUGAUAAAAAUGAGGAAAUGUAGUGUUGGAGCUUUAAGGACUACUUAGAACCCUCCAGCAUUUGCGCACAACAUUGGACGGUGGUCCACCACAUUGGUUUUCCUAGUCGGAGUGCUCUUCCACACGAGAAGACUCUCCUCUUUUGCUCUUUUUAACAGGUUUCCUAUUUCAAGCACAUCCUUAUUGUAUUACGAGUCUAUGAAACUCUCGUUUUGAGAAAAACCGGUCACUUAUCAGAAGGAUGACAUUUGUUUGUGCGUUUUUUUGCAUGCAUACAUUAUUAAUAAAGAGUUUCUUAUAAAAAUUGCAGGUCUUGAUGGAUUUGGAAUUAGACUUUAUUUGCAAUAUCAAAGGCUUGGGCAGUAGGUUCAUUAGCACUCUCAAGUCUGCUCGGUACAAGUCUAGGGUUCAAGAUCUGUGGAGGCUAUUUAAAUUAUGUAAAUUACCAUUUCUAAAUAAUUUAAUAAUGUUAUUGAGUAUUGCCAAAUGCUAACAAUUAUUCUUAUUUCUUUUUUUCCCUUCAAAGGAAUUUUGAUA